This 588-nucleotide ribosomal RNA is filed under the name uncultured bacterium. Its description in RNAcentral is "partial 16S ribosomal RNA". It matches the Rfam family "Bacterial small subunit ribosomal RNA", at positions 355 to 1376 of the family's 1533-position model. The record is from RNAcentral.
UGGGGAAUAUUGGACAAUGGGCGCAAGCCUGAUCCAGCAAUGCCGCGUGUGUGAAGAAGGCCUUCGGGUUGUAAAGCACUUUUAUCAGGAGCGAAACGCUGUCGGCUAAUACCCGGCGGAACUGACGGUACCUGAGGAAUAAGCACCGGCUAACUUCGUGCCAGCAGCCGCGGUAAUACGAAGGGUGCAAGCGUUAAUCGGAAUUACUGGGCGUAAAGCGUGCGUAGGCGGUUUCUUAAGUCUGCUGUGAAAUCCCCGGGCUCAACCUGGGAAUGGCAGUGGAUACUGGGAGGCUAGAGUGUGUCAGAGGGUGGUGGAAUUCCCGGUGUAGCGGUGAAAUGCGUAGAGAUCGGGAGGAACAUCAGUGGCGAAGGCGGCCACCUGGGACAACACUGACGCUGAGGCACGAAAGCGUGGGGAGCAAACAGGAUUAGAUACCCUGGUAGUCCACGCCCUAAACGAUGCGAACUGGAUGUUGGUCUCAACUCGGGGAUCAGUGUCGAAGCUAACGCGUUAAGUUCGCCGCCUGGGAAGUACGGUCGCAAGACUGAAACUCAAAUGAAUUGACGGGGUCAUAGCUGUUUCCUG